RNAcentral lists this non-coding RNA (29 nucleotides) under Homo sapiens (human). Lineage: Eukaryota; Metazoa; Chordata; Mammalia; Primates; Hominidae. The record is from RNAcentral.
UCCCCAGGAGCCAAAGGGCCGCUCAGGAA